This 535-nucleotide ribosomal RNA is filed under the name Cryptosporidium canis. Its description in RNAcentral is "SSU rRNA". It matches the Rfam family "Eukaryotic small subunit ribosomal RNA", at positions 333 to 901 of the family's 1831-position model. The record is from RNAcentral. Lineage: Eukaryota; Apicomplexa; Conoidasida; Eucoccidiorida; Cryptosporidiidae.
GUAUUGGCCUACCGUGGCAAUGACGGGUAACGGGGAAUUAGGGUUCGAUUCCGGAGAGGGAGCCUGAGAAACGGCUACCACAUCUAAGGAAGGCAGCAGGCGCGCAAAUUACCCAAUCCUAAUACAGGGAGGUAGUGACAAGAAAUAACAAUACAGGACUUUAACAGUUUUGUAAUUGGAAUGAGUUGAGUAUAAACCCCUUUACAAGUAUCAAUUGGAGGGCAAGUCUGGUGCCAGCAGCCGCGGUAAUUCCAGCUCCAAUAGCGUAUAUUAAAGUUGUUGCAGUUAAAAAGCUCGUAGUUGGAUUUCUGUUAAUAAUUUAUAUAUAAUAUUUAACAUAUUUAUAUAAUAUUAACAUAAUUCAUAUUACUAUUUAUAGUAUAUGAAACUUUACUUUGAGAAAAUUAGAGUGCUUAAAGCAGGCUUUUGCCUUGAAUACUAGAGCAUGGAAUAAUAUUAAAGAUUUUUAUCUUUCUUAUUGGUUCUAAGAUAGAAAUAAUGAUUAAUAGGGACAGUUGGGGGCAUUUGUAUUUAA